GACCUUGCCCUUGGACUCACCUAAUGGUCAGGUUCAAGGUCACAUGGGCUUAGAUAGUCACAGCAGUAAAAAAGUGUAUGGUUUUAAAGUAAAGAAGACUUCACAACAUGACAUCCGAGACUGCAGGGACGAAAUGACUCACGUCAGCAGAGGAAGCCAAGACACAAUACGAGAAUUUCCAGCGGCUUACCUGCUUCUUCAAUGCAUUGAAUGCAUUCACAGUUUCAACACGCUUUACAACUCUAGAACAUUGUGGGCACAAG
Long non-coding RNA from Dreissena polymorpha, 263 nucleotides. RefSeq lists it as uncharacterized. Lineage: Eukaryota; Metazoa; Mollusca; Bivalvia; Myida; Dreissenidae. The record is from RefSeq and is a predicted model, not a curated record. The transcript is spliced from 3 exons.